UACGUAGGGUGCGAGCGUUAAUCGGAAUUACUGGGCGUAAAGCGCGCGCAGGCGGUCCUUCAAGUCAGAGGUGAAAGCCCAGAGCUCAACUCUGGAACGGCCUUUGAGACUAGAGGACUUGGGUACGGGAGAGGUGAGUGGAAUUCCGAGUGUAGAGGUGAAAUUCGUAGAUAUUCGGAAGAACACCAGUGGCGAAGGCGGCUCACUGGCCCGUUACCGACGCUCAGGCGCGACAGCGUGGGGAGCAAACAGG
Molecule: ribosomal RNA, 253 nt
Filed under: uncultured bacterium
Lineage: Bacteria
Description: partial 16S ribosomal RNA
Rfam family: Bacterial small subunit ribosomal RNA
Source: RNAcentral